Molecule: ribosomal RNA, 484 nt
Filed under: uncultured bacterium
Lineage: Bacteria
Description: partial 16S ribosomal RNA
Rfam family: Bacterial small subunit ribosomal RNA
Source: RNAcentral
AUUGAACGCUGGCGGCAGGCCUAACACAUGCAAGUCGAGCGGAUGAAGGGAGCUCGCUCCUGGAUUCAGCGGCGGACGGGUGAGUAAUGCCUAGGAACCUGCCUGGUAGUGGGGGAUAACGUCCGGAAACGGGCGCUAAUACCGCAUACGUCCUGAGGGAGAAAGUGGGGGAUCUUCGGACCUCACGCUAUCAGAUGAGCCUAGGUCGGAUUAGCUAGUUGGUGGGGUAAAGGCCUACCAAGGCGACGAUCCGUAACUGGUCUGAGAGGAUGAUCAGUCACACUGGAACUGAGACACGGUCCAGACUCCUACGGGAGGCAGCAGUGGGGAAUAUUGGACAAUGGGCGAAAGCCUGAUCCAGCCAUGCCGCGUGUGUGAAGAAGGUCUUCGGAUUGUAAAGCACUUUAAGUCGGGAGGAAGGGCAGUAAGUUAAUACCUUGCUGUUUUGACGUUACCAACAGAAUAAGCACCGGCUAACUUCGUG